RNAcentral lists this ribosomal RNA (253 nucleotides) under uncultured bacterium. Its description in RNAcentral is "partial 16S ribosomal RNA". It matches the Rfam family "Bacterial small subunit ribosomal RNA", at positions 524 to 776 of the family's 1533-position model. The record is from RNAcentral.
UACGUAGGGGGCGAGCGUUGUCCGAAGUUACUGGGCGUAAGGCGUGCGUAGGCGGUUCUCCAAGUCCGUUGUGAAAGCCCCGGGCUCAACCUGGGAAUGGCAGUGGAAACUAGGGGACUGGAAUCUGGCAGAGGGGGGUGGAAUGCCGCGUGUAGCAGUGAAAUGCGUAGAGAUGCGGCGGAACACCGGUGGCGAAGGCGGGUCUCUGGGCCGAUACUGACGCUGAGGAGCGAAAGCGUGGGGAGCGAACAGG